The submitters of this non-coding RNA (53 nucleotides) gave its source as unclassified sequences. The record is from Rfam.
GCACGUUCACCCUUUGGGGCGCAGGCAAUCUAACCAUGGAACGGGGGUUAGGU